Molecule: long non-coding RNA, 271 nt
Organism: Neltuma alba
Lineage: Eukaryota; Viridiplantae; Streptophyta; Magnoliopsida; Fabales; Fabaceae
Exons: 3
Source: RefSeq, a predicted model, not a curated record
AGAAAAUUCUGAAGGGGUGAGAUUUAGAAGCAGCCAAAGCCUCUCAUAUCUCUUUCUUCUUCCUCCGAUCACUCUGGUUAUGCUGUUUUAAUUUCAACGCACGCAUUUCUUUCGGGAAAAAGAGAAAAGAUGCAUAUAACCAAUUAUUCUGAGAAUUGAUCGAGGAAUUGCUGAUUUCUCUAUGACAUUAGUUUUUUCUUUUCCGGCGUAAAGAUAAAAAAUGGACCGUACGGAUCGACUAGCUGUGAAGGGUAAACGCCAUAACCUCCAU